GACGAACGCUGGCGGCGUGCUUAACACAUGCAAGUCGAACGGAAAGGCCCUGCUUUUGUGGGGUGCUCGAGUGGCGAACGGGUGAGUAACACGUGAGUAACCUGCCCUUGACUUUGGGAUAACUUCAGGAAACUGGGGCUAAUACCGGAUAGGAGCUCCUGCUGCAUGGUGGGGGUUGGAAAGUUUCGGCGGUUGGGGAUGGACUCGCGGCUUAUCAGCUUGUUGGUGGGGUAGUGGCUUACCAAGGCUUUGACGGGUAGCCGGCCUGAGAGGGUGACCGGCCACAAUGGGACUGAGAUAGGGCCCAGACUCGUACGGGAGGCAGCAGUGGGGAAUAUUGCACAAUGGGGGGAAGCGUGAUGCAGCAACGUCGCGUGCGGGAUGAGGGCCUUCGGGUUGUAAACCGCUUUCGCCUGUGACGAAGCGUGAGUGACGGUAAUGGGUAAAGAAGCACCGGCUAACUACGUG
Molecule: ribosomal RNA, 468 nt
Filed under: uncultured bacterium
Lineage: Bacteria
Description: partial 16S ribosomal RNA
Rfam family: Bacterial small subunit ribosomal RNA
Source: RNAcentral